This 426-nucleotide ribosomal RNA is filed under the name Triticum aestivum (bread wheat). RNAcentral's name for it is "partial small subunit ribosomal RNA". Lineage: Eukaryota; Viridiplantae; Streptophyta; Magnoliopsida; Poales; Poaceae. The record is from RNAcentral.
AUGGGCGACUUCAACAAGAUUUACCGAGCACGAGAUAAAAAUAACAGGAACAUCAAUCGCAGCCGCCUCAACCGCUUCCGUGCUACACUAGACACUUGUGAACUAAAAGAGAUCCACCUCCAGAACAGACGCUUCACUUGGAGUAACGAGCGUCAAAACCCUACUCUAUGCAAGCUGGACUCAGUUUUCUGCAACACCGACUGGGACAUGCAUUUUGAUUCUCAUGUGCUUCAUGCCAUUUCUUCUCCGCUAUCAGACCAUUGCCCCCUUCUCCUUGCUGAUGACAGGGGACCGAAGCGACCAAGAUGCUUCAGAUUUGAGAAUUUCUGGUCCUGUAUCCCAGGAUUUUUUGACACCGUGUCCAAGGCUUGGGAGGAGCCGUGUGCCCACACGGAGCCAUACCAACGGCUUUUCCAUAAGCUCAAG